This 1666-nucleotide long non-coding RNA is filed under the name Androctonus crassicauda. Lineage: Eukaryota; Metazoa; Arthropoda; Arachnida; Scorpiones; Buthidae. The record is from RNAcentral.
CUUUACUUCAUCAUCAUCUUGGGCAAAGAGAUCACUUUUCUUAUAAUUGAUUGAAUUUUCGAUCUUUUAAAUCGAAAAAUGUGGAAUUUUUCUUCUUUUUUUUGGAGCGGGAAUAUAUAUAAAAAUUGUCGUACUGUCUAAAGGUGUGUCCUUAGUUGUGCGUGUGAUGUGGGGUCCUUUUACACGGCCAGGUAACUUGCUGUGCUACAGACAAUGUGAGCUGGCCUGACAAUAGACAGGGGUAGAACUCAGUUUGAAGUGUGCACGUUUGUUUCUUAUGUUCAGAAAGACGGUUCAAAGGUGGGGAGAUUCGUUGUAGAUCGUUGAUAAGAUUUUGUGUAUUGUAGUAUACGGACUAAAGGUUGUUUACUGUACACUCAAACAUCUCCAGAAGUUUGCAUUUUAACAGAAUAAAAAUCCCGGCGUAUAACGAAACUCUAAACCUCAUACAUCGCUUUAUAACUACCUCACAAGACUACAAAGAAAAAUCUUUCUAAAUUUAAUUUCGGAAGGAAAAAAAGCGUAACUCAUACGGCUACAACCACUCUAAACGGCUCCUAUAUAUCUAUUGCCAUCAUUUGAGGUUUCUUUAAUGUCAGUAAAAAGAACAAUUCCGUUGUUUUCAACGCUGUUAACGUUGCGUUAAUUGCCGUGUUUACUGUCUCAGCUACAGUAUUGUUAGGAGAAAUUUUAGUGUGUGAAACACAACCAACAAAAUAUAUAUAUAUAAUCAUUUUAGUGUGCCAGCAAUCAAAACUUUGUGUACGGGUUUUCGGAAGGAAGGUUUUGAUUCCCAAACAGAGAUUUUACGUCUGUUGACCUUAAUGAACUCGAUGCCCUUAUAAUAAAUCAAAACUUUUAUGUAUUUUGACACAUUUAGGAAGCGAAUUACGAAGUUAGCAAACACACACACAUAUAUAUCUGCAGCGCCUGGAAGUCUGUUCAUAAUGUUUGAUGUUUACAAGCAUUUAGUGAUUGUCUCCCGUGCGUUUUCAACACGCAGAAUAUCGAUUUUUGGCCAUAUUCGCUAUGCUGAAACGUUUUCUGUCGAAGCAACGAAUAUGCAUGAAAAAAAAAAAUCGCAUAAAUAUUACUUAUAUCGAGAUAUAAGUCUGUUAAAAAAUUACGUAUAUCUUACAUAAACAUGGUUUCAUCCAUUAAAAUAAUUUCCGAUCAUUUGUUCCUCUUAUCCUUGACACAUAUAUUUUCGCAUGUUGAGUUGAUAAAUUGUAAAAAUAUGUUCAUGUUUCUGUAUAUAACAAUUAUGAGAGAUAUUAAGCGAAAUUAAAUGAUCGUUAAGUUGGCCUACAAUUUUAUUUUAUUUUUUUUUUUAUCUCAGUAAAGUAUCUUUUUUUGAGGUACUGAUCAACAAGAUCUAGCCGAACUCCAUAGAACGUUGCAUAAUCAUAAUGAUGAUAAUGACGACGAUAUUUAGAAAUUAUCAAUUAAAAUUUUAAACGGCCGAACUACUCGUAAAAAUUGAAUUUAAUUUAUAACUAGACGUACGCGAGAUAACCAUCAGGAAUACCAUAAAUCGGCGUUAAAACAAUACAACUACAGAAUUACCAUAAAACAAAUUGCCGUUUCAUUAAUCUAUUCUCUUCUAUCUCGACUUCUGUAAUAAAUUAGCAAUAUUUUUUAUUUUUGCAGAAUAAAUUCGUUGGUG